AGACCCGAAACCCGGUGAUCUAGCCAUGGGCAGGUUGAAGGUUGGGUAACACUAACUGGAGGACCGAACCGACUAAUGUUGAAAAAUUAGCGGAUGACCUGUGGCUGGGGGUGAAAGGCCAAUCAAACCGGGAGAUAGCUGGUUCUCCCCGAAAGCUAUUUAGGUAGCGCCUCGUGAAUUCAUCUCCGGGGGUAGAGCACUGUUUCGGCUAGGGGGCCAUCCCGGCUUACCAACCCGAUGCAAACUGCGAAUACCGGAGAAUGUUAUCACGGGAGACACACGGCGGGUGCUAACGUCCGUCGUGAAGAGGGAAACAACCCAGACCGCCAGCUAAGGUCCCAAAGUCAUGGUUAAGUGGGAAACGAUGUGGGAAGGCCCAGACAGCCAGGAUGUUGGCUUAGAAGCAGCCAUCAUUUAAAGAAAGCGUAAUAGCUCACUGGUCGAGUCGGCCUGCGCGGAAGAUGUAACGGGGCUAAACCAUGCACCGAAGCUGCGGCAGCGAACGUAUCACCCAAGACAACUUUACGGAGUUGACGAUUGACGGAGCGAAGCGACGUCAAAGCGUUCAUUAAAGUCGAGUUGGCUUAGGGAUACGUUCGUUGGGUAGGGGAGCGUUCUGUAAGCCUGUGAAGGUGUGUCGUGAGGCAUGCUGGAGGUAUCAGAAGUGCGAAUGCUGACAUAAGUAACGAUAAAGCGGGUGAAAAGCCCGCUCGCCGGAAGACCAAGGGUUCCUGUCCAACGUUAAUCGGGGCAGGGUGAGUCGACCCCUAAGGCGAGGCCGAAAGGCGUAGUCGAUGGGAAACGGGUUAAUAUUCCCGUACUUGGUGUUACUGCGAAGGGGGGACGGAGAAGGCUAUGUUGGCCGGGCGACGGUUGUCCCGGUUUAAGCGUGUAGGUGUGUGUUCCAGGUAAAUCCGGUUCACUUUAACACUGAGGCGUGACGACGAGGCACUACGGUGCUGAAGCAACAAAUGCCCUGC
This 980-nucleotide ribosomal RNA is filed under the name Salmonella enterica. RNAcentral describes it as "partial 23S ribosomal RNA". It matches the Rfam family "Bacterial large subunit ribosomal RNA", at positions 711 to 1605 of the family's 2925-position model. The record is from RNAcentral. Lineage: Bacteria; Pseudomonadati; Pseudomonadota; Gammaproteobacteria; Enterobacterales; Enterobacteriaceae.